Molecule: non-coding RNA, 65 nt
Organism: Daphnia carinata
Lineage: Eukaryota; Metazoa; Arthropoda; Branchiopoda; Diplostraca; Daphniidae
Source: the annotation of a RefSeq genome assembly
GAGAAAUUAGUUAAACAAAUAACAUUAGCUUGUCAUGCUAAAAUUACUUGGGAUAGUAUUUCUUU